AAAAAGGUUCUUAAAUCUGGAAAAGGAAAGGUUGAAGAACCACCAAUGUUUCCAAUAAAGUCAUA
This is a non-coding RNA of Equus caballus (horse), 65 nucleotides long. NCBI's taxonomy places the organism in Eukaryota, Metazoa, Chordata, Mammalia, Perissodactyla, Equidae. The record is from Rfam.